RNAcentral lists this long non-coding RNA (1716 nucleotides) under Leguminivora glycinivorella. Its description in RNAcentral is "uncharacterized LOC125229632". The record is from RNAcentral. Lineage: Eukaryota; Metazoa; Arthropoda; Insecta; Lepidoptera; Tortricidae.
GAGUGUUUUAAAUCGACACGUGUUAUAUUAAUUUAUGAUAUCACAUUCACAAACACGACAUCCACACUUAGCAUGCCAACUCAAAAUAUUCAUGCUGCGUCCUUUGAAAAGUAAAAACUGACAAGCGGUCGAAUAAGCGUAUUUCAGCAAAUAUAGACAAGUUAAUCCUCCACACAUAGUCGUUUUUAGCCAAAUAUAGCAAAAUAAACGAAUUCGCAACGACUUGGAAUGGAAGUGCUACUAUUAUAAUCAUUGUAGCGAAAAAGUUGACUACGGACACAGAGUACAUAUUAUAACUACGGAUAAAGGUGUAAAUGUAAAAUAAAUUAUUAGAGUUGGUUGGCAACCCCGGAUCGCCGUCCGUGAUGUCCUGCCGUCAGUGUUGCCAGAUCUCCUGAUUUAUCAGGAGAUCUCCUGAUUUCGAGGUGCAUCUCCUGAAUUCCUGAUCUCCUGAUUUUUACCAAAAAUUUCCUGAUUUUCCCAAAUAUCUCCUAAUUUUUCCCGAAAAUCUCCUGACUUUGUGAGAAAUUUCUUAGUGUUCACGAUUAUGGUGUUAAAAUUCUAUUCUAUUCAAAUUUCUCGAAGUGAGUGUAUGGCGGCAAUCGGCAAAUUGCAGUAAUAAUACAGAUGUAGUGCAAAAAUACUUUCCUUCUUAUUUUUACGUACAAAACGUACUGAAACUGUCUGAACUAGCAUGACAAUGACGAAUUUUUCCGUAAAAACACGAAGGAAAACCUUUUCGCACUACAUCUGUACUGUACAUAACACUGCCUUAAAUACGUCAUAGUAAUAGUAUUAUGAACCAAGUUUUAAAUGACAAGAUUUGACUGACCAUAUUUUUUUUAAAUAUUUAAUUAACGUAGAUGUUACAAAUAAUUGUGAAAAUAAACUAAAAGAAGAAUAAUAUCAUCAAUUUAUGACUUUGGAGAAAUUAUGUCUCCUGAUUUCUCCUGAUUUUUAGGACAUGUGUCUCCUGUUUUUUCAAAUUGGACCUGGCAACACUGCCUGCCGUCGCCAUCUUUCAUUUCCUCUCGUCUCGAGCGUUGCGUGUCUGUUCUUGCUGUAAUAAAGUGCUGUAUCAAAAAAUGGAUCACAUUGAAGACCAUGAUCAUGCAGGUUGUUUUUGUUGCUGCUUCAUCUUGGACAAGUUGGCAACCAGCAACAAGACCCGGCCUGCGAGCAAUGACCAGUGAAAUCCGCAACGGACCUAUAAGAAGCUAUCCCUGUUCCUGCACUAUCAUCGGGCGAGGUGAACAUCGCUGGUCCAUGUGAUGCGGCGGAUCUAUCUCGAAGUUAACAAAAUGGUUGUAUUUGUGGCGCAGCGCUCUGCUACUGCCACGGGCUGUUCUCCGACUGGAGACCCACGUGUCAGCUCGACAGUGUCGCCUCCUUGCUUCGCCCCGGUGGAAUUUGGUAUGUCACCUGAGGCGAGGAGGAUUUGAGUAGGUGCAUAUGCGAACGGCCUAAGUGACGCCUCUUCAACGCGACGGGUGUAUUCUCCUCAAAUAUGAGAAGGAGCUCGGGUCCUGUGGGCUCUUAACCGUCGUAGUUUUCACGCAGUGUUUUAAAAUAGUGUUUGUGUGUAUUAUGGUAACAUACGUUCAAUUCAAAUGUGUAACACUACAUAACUAUACAUAGGUAUCACUUUUCAUUAGUAUGGUGAUGUUUUUCCGGCCUGAAGAAAAAACUUCAAAUAAAAUAAUUAUGUUGUCUGUA